GACGAACGCUGGCGGCGUGCUUAACACAUGCAAGUCGAACGGUAAGGCCCUUCGGGGUACACGAGUGGCGAACGGGUGAGUAACACGUGGGUGAUCUGCCCUGCACUUCGGGAUAAGCCUGGGAAACUGGGUCUAAUACCGGAUAGGACCCUGGGAUGCAUGUCCUGGGGUGGAAAGCUUUUGCGGUGUGGGAUGGGCCCGCGGCCUAUCAGCUUGUUGGGGGGGUGAUGGCCUACCAAGGCGACGACGGGUAGCCGGCCGGAGAGGGUGACCGGCCACACUGGGACUGAGAUACGGGCCAGACUCCUACGGGAGGCAGCAGUGGGGAAUAUUGCACAAUGGGCGCAAGCCUGAUGCAGCGACGCCGCGUGAGGGAUGACGGCCUUCGGGUUGUAAACCUCUUUCAGCACCGACGAAGCGCAAGUGACGGUAGGUGCAGAAGAAGGACCGGCCAACUACGUGCCAGCAGCCGCCGUAA
RNAcentral lists this ribosomal RNA (478 nucleotides) under uncultured bacterium. RNAcentral's name for it is "partial 16S ribosomal RNA". It matches the Rfam family "Bacterial small subunit ribosomal RNA", at positions 28 to 523 of the family's 1533-position model. The record is from RNAcentral.